Molecule: ribosomal RNA, 433 nt
Filed under: uncultured bacterium
Lineage: Bacteria
Description: partial 16S ribosomal RNA
Rfam family: Bacterial small subunit ribosomal RNA
Source: RNAcentral
AACGAACGCUGGCGGCAUGCCUAACACAUGCAAGUCGAACGAAACCUUCGGGUCUAGUGGCGCACGGGUGCGUAACGCGUGGGAACCUGCCCUUAGGUUCGGAAUAACUCCCCGAAAGGGGUGCUAAUACCGGAUAAUGUCUUCGGACCAAAGAUUUAUCGCCUUUGGAUGGGCCCGCGUUGGAUUAGCUAGUUGGUAGGGUAAAAGCCUACCAAGGCGACGAUCCAUAGCUGGUCUGAGAGGAUGAUCAGCCACACUGGGACUGAGACACGGCCCAGACUCCUACGGGAGGAAGCAGUUGGGAAUAUUGGACAAUGGGCGAAAGCCUGAUCCAGCAAUGCCGCGUGAGUGAUGAAGGCCUUAGGGGUGUAAAGCUCUUUUACCCGGGAUGAUAAUGACAGUACCGGGAGAAUAGGCUCCGGCUAACUCCGUG